RNAcentral lists this ribosomal RNA (459 nucleotides) under uncultured bacterium. RNAcentral describes it as "partial 16S ribosomal RNA". It matches the Rfam family "Bacterial small subunit ribosomal RNA", at positions 339 to 795 of the family's 1533-position model. The record is from RNAcentral.
CUACGGGUCGCUGCAGUAAGGAAUAUUGCGCAAUGGAGGCAACUCUGACGCAGCCAUGCCGCGUGCAGGAAGAAGGCCGUAUGGGUCGUAAACUGCUUUUAUUUAGGAAUAAACCCCCGAACGUGUUCGGGGCUGAAGGUACUAAACGAAUAAGCACCGGCUAACUCCGUGCCAGCAGCCGCGGUAAUACGGAGGGUGCAAGCGUUAUCCGGAUUUAUUGUGUUUAAAGGGUGCGCAGGCGGGCUAUUAAGUCAGUGGUGAAAUCCCGGGGCUCAACUCCGGAACUGCCAUUGAUACUGAUAGUCUUGAGUUUUGUUGAAGUGGGCGGAAUGUAGCAUGUAGCGGUGAAAUGCAUAGAUAUGCUACAGAACACCAAUCGCGAAGGCAGCUCACUAAGCCAAAACUGACGCUCAUGCACUAAAGCGUGGGGAUCAAACAGGAUUAGAUACCCCUGUAGUC